This 162-nucleotide ribosomal RNA is filed under the name Furcasterigmium furcatum. RNAcentral's name for it is "partial large subunit ribosomal RNA". It matches the Rfam family "Eukaryotic large subunit ribosomal RNA", at positions 99 to 261 of the family's 3401-position model. Lineage: Eukaryota; Fungi; Ascomycota; Sordariomycetes; Glomerellales; Plectosphaerellaceae. The record is from RNAcentral.
CGGCAACAGCUCAAAUUUGAAAUCUGGCUCCUUCGGGGCCCGAGUUGUAAUUUGCAGAGGAUGCUUCGGGUGCGGUACCUACCGAGUUCCCUGGAACGGGACGCCAUAGAGGGUGAGAGCCCCGUCUGGUAGGACACCUAGCCCGUGUGAAGCUCCCUCGAC